CCUACGGGUGGCAGCAGUGGGGAAUAUUGGGCAAUGGGCGCAAGCCUGACCCAGCAACGCCGCGUGAAGGAAGAAGGCUCUCGGGUUGUAAACUUCUUUUAUCAGGGACGAAGCAAGUGACGGUACCUGAUGAAUAAGCCACGGCUAACUACGUGCCAGCAGCCGCGGUAAUACGUAGGUGGCAAGCGUUAUCCGGAUUGACUGGGUGUAAAGGGCGUGUAGGCGGGAAAGUAAGUCAGAUGUGGAAACCAUGGGCUCAACCUGUGGCCUGCAUUUGAAACUGUUUUUCUUGAGUACUGGAGGGGCAGACGGAAUUACUAGUGUAGCGGUGGAAUGCGUAGAUAUUAGGAGGAACACCAGUGGCGAAGGCGAUCUGCUGGACAGCAACUGACGCUGAGGCGCGAAAGCGUGGGGAGCAAACAGGAUUAGAUACCCCAGUAGUC
This 443-nucleotide ribosomal RNA is filed under the name uncultured bacterium. Its description in RNAcentral is "partial 16S ribosomal RNA". It matches the Rfam family "Bacterial small subunit ribosomal RNA", at positions 338 to 795 of the family's 1533-position model. The record is from RNAcentral.